AGUGCACCAGUACCGUGAGGGAAAGGUGAGAAGAACCGCAAGCAGCGGAGUGAAAAGACCCUGAAACCGUACGUCUACAAGCGGUCGAAGCUGGCAACGGCGACGGCGUGCCCUUUGCACAAUGAGCCUACGAGUUACACCUGUCUAGCGAGUUUAAGUACUUAAGGUACGGAGGCGAAGCGAAAGCGAGUCUGAAUAGGGCGGGAGCUAGAUGGGGUAGACGCGAAACCGAGUGAUCUACCCAUGUGCAGGUUGAAGUCCCGGUAGUCCCGGGAUGGAGGACCGAACCGGUAAACGUUGAAAAGUUUUCGGAUGACGUGUGGGUAGGGGUGAAAGGCUAAUCAAACUCGGAGAUAGCUCGUACUCCCCGAAAUGCAUUUAGGUGCAGCGUUGGGAAGAGUAUCACGGAGGUAGAGCUACCAAUAGGGCUAGGGGGCUUCACCGCCUACCAACCCCUGAUGAACUCCGAAUGCCGUGAUAUUGCACCAGCAGUGAGGCUACGGGUGCGAAGGUCCGUGGCCGAGAGGGGAACAACCCAGACCAUCAGCUAAGGUCCCAAAAUUGGAGUUAAGUUGUGUAAACGAGGUGGGGAUGCUAUGACAGCUAGGAUGUUUGCUUGGAAGCAGCAAUUCAUUUAAAGAGUGCGUAACAGCUCACUAGUCGAGCGUUCCUGCGCGGAAAAUGAUCGGGCAUCAAACUUCAUACCGAAGCUAUGGACUCCGUCUUUGGGCGGAUUGGAAGGGGAGCAUUCUACUAGCGGAGAAGGUGUUCUGUGAGGGAUGCUGGAGCGAGUAGAAAAGAAAAUGUAGGCAUGAGUAACGAAAAAAAGGGUGAGAUACCCUUUCGCCGUAAGACUAAGGGUUCCUUGUUCGAUGCUAAUCAGAACAGGGUUAGCCGGGACCUAAGGAGAAGCCGAGAGGCGCAUCUAAUGGAAAGCGGGCAAAAAUUCCCGCGCCUGCGUACACUAAAAAGGGGACGGAGGCAUGUAGUUUCCACGUACUGACGGAAUAGUGCGUAGAGAGGAGGCUCAGGCUGAAUCGAGGGAAUGAGUUGCCUUCCAAGAAAAGCCGAAGUACGCAGCCCGUACCGCAAACCGACACAGGUAGUCGAGGAGAGUAUCCUAAGGCGCUCGAGUGAUCCACGGUUAAGGAACUAGGCAAAUUAGCCCCGUAACUUCGGGAGAAGGGGCUCCCACCGCGAGGUGGGACGCAGUGAAGAGGCCCAGGCGACUGUUAACAAAAACACAGGACUCUGCGAAAUCGCAAGAUGAAGUAUAGGGUCUGACACCUGCCCGGUGCCGGAAGGUUAAGGAAGGGAGUUAGCUUCGGCGACGCUCUUGACUGAAGCCCCGGUAAACGGCGGCCGUAACUAUAACGGUCCUAAGGUAGCGAAAUUCCUUGUCGGGUAAGUUCCGACCUGCACGAAUGGUGUAACGAUCUGGGCACUGUCUCAACCGUGAGCUCGGUGAAAUUGAAGUAUCGGUGAAGAUACCGGUUACCCG
RNAcentral lists this ribosomal RNA (1501 nucleotides) under metagenome. RNAcentral describes it as "bacterial LSU rRNA". It matches the Rfam family "Bacterial large subunit ribosomal RNA", at positions 489 to 2072 of the family's 2925-position model. The record is from RNAcentral.